GUGAGUAGUUCAGAGUUUGAUCCUGGCUCAGGAUGAACGCUGGCGGCGUGCUUAACACAUGCAAGUCGAACGAAGCAUUAUAACUUGAUUUCUUCGGAUUGAUUGUUAUUAUGACUGAGUGGCGGACGGGUGAGUAACGCGUGGGUAACCUGCCUCAUACAGGGGGAUAACAGUUGGAAACGACUGCUAAUACCGCAUAAGCGCACAGCAUCGCAUGAUGCAGUGUGAAAAACUCCGGUGGUAUGAGAUGGACCCGCGUCUGAUUAGCUAGUUGGCAGGGUAACGGCCUACCAAGGCGACGAUCAGUAGCCGACCUGAGAGGGUGACCGGCCACAUUGGGACUGAGACACGGCCCAA
This 357-nucleotide ribosomal RNA is filed under the name uncultured bacterium. RNAcentral's name for it is "bacterial SSU rRNA". It matches the Rfam family "Bacterial small subunit ribosomal RNA", at positions 1 to 334 of the family's 1533-position model. The record is from RNAcentral.